RNAcentral lists this long non-coding RNA (237 nucleotides) under Setaria viridis. Its description in RNAcentral is "long non-coding RNA (SVIR_LNC003744)". Lineage: Eukaryota; Viridiplantae; Streptophyta; Magnoliopsida; Poales; Poaceae. The record is from RNAcentral.
GGUCUCAAUUUGGGCUAAAUAACAUGAAUAUCAUUUUUCUACUCAUUUUAUUCUAUAAUUUGAAUCACUUGCAGUUCAAAUUUGACUUAUACCAAAAAUUUCCUUGAAAUGCAAUUAAUUAAUUAAAUAUAGCAAACAAAUCCAAAAAUAUACCAAAUUUGAACAUGGAGUACCACAUGUUGUAUGUGGGGAGUAGAAAAAUUUUCAAGGUGAAAAGAGAAAAAAAUCUUAUUGUUU